RNAcentral lists this unclassified non-coding RNA (348 nucleotides) under soil metagenome. Its description in RNAcentral is "partial contains 5.8S ribosomal RNA, internal transcribed spacer 2, and large subunit ribosomal RNA". The stretch from base 1 to 120 matches the Rfam family "5.8S ribosomal RNA", at positions 35 to 154 of the family's 154-position model. The record is from RNAcentral.
GAUGAAGAACGUAGCGAAAUGCGAUAAGUAAUGUGAAUUGCAGAAUUCAGUGAAUCAUCGAAUUUUUGAACGCACAUUGCGCCCGCCAGUAUUCUGGCGGGCAUGCCUGUCUGAGCGUCAUUUCAACCCUCAUGCCCCUAGGGCGUGGUGUUGGGGAUCGGCCAAAGCCCGCGAGGGACGGCCGGCCCCUAAAUCUAGUGGCGGACCCGUCGUGGCCUCCUCUGCGAAGUAGUGAUAUUGCGCAUCGGAGAGCGACGAGCCCCUGCCGUUAAACCCCCAACUUUCCAAGGUUGACCUCAGAUCAGGUAGGAAUACCCGCUGAACUUAAGCAUAUCAAUAAGCGGAGGA